CGAAAAGCUGUGACAGAAAGCAGUAGCGAAAUGUGCUUAUUCAAGAGAGCCUGCGGUUGGUGCAAGCAGGCAUAAGACGUUCGUGAAUCCAUUCUGGAGCGGGAAUCCGAAAUCAAAGUAAGAUUCCACGGGCAGGCACCGUUAUGCCUUAAGCGGAAAGUACACAUGUGCUUUCAACCAGGGUGGUAUCGCGGGCUUCAACUCUCGUCCCUUAU
RNAcentral lists this non-coding RNA (215 nucleotides) under Jeotgalibacillus malaysiensis. RNAcentral describes it as "T-box sequence". It matches the Rfam family "T-box leader". Rfam says of the family: Uncharged tRNA acts as the effector for transcription antitermination of genes in the T-box leader family. T-boxes are found upstream of many aminoacyl-tRNA synthetase genes and some amino acid biosynthetic genes usually in Gram-positive bacteria. Lineage: Bacteria; Bacillati; Bacillota; Bacilli; Caryophanales; Caryophanaceae. The record is from RNAcentral.